UUAAAUUGAAGAGUUUGAUCAUGGCUCAGAUUGAACGCUGGCGGCAGGCCUAACACAUGCAAGUCGAACGGUAACAGGAAGCAGCUUGCUGCUUCGCUGACGAGUGG
Molecule: ribosomal RNA, 107 nt
Filed under: Escherichia coli
Lineage: Bacteria; Pseudomonadati; Pseudomonadota; Gammaproteobacteria; Enterobacterales; Enterobacteriaceae
Also listed under: 19 other names
Description: partial 16S ribosomal RNA
Rfam family: Bacterial small subunit ribosomal RNA
Source: RNAcentral